GGCCGGUUAGCUCAGCUGGUUAGAGCGUGGUGCUAAUAACGCCAAGGUGGCCGGUUCGAGCCCCGUAUUGGCCA
Danio rerio (zebrafish) is the source of this 74-nucleotide non-coding RNA. The record is from Rfam. Lineage: Eukaryota; Metazoa; Chordata; Actinopteri; Cypriniformes; Danionidae.